This 78-nucleotide transfer RNA is filed under the name Acidobacteriota bacterium. RNAcentral describes it as "Acidobacteria bacterium tRNA-Arg". It matches the Rfam family "tRNA". From Rfam's summary of the family: Transfer RNA (tRNA) molecules are approximately 80 nucleotides in length. Their secondary structure includes four short double-helical elements and three loops (D, anti-codon, and T loops). Further hydrogen bonds mediate the characteristic L-shaped molecular structure. tRNAs have two regions of fundamental functional importance: the anti-codon, which is responsible for specific mRNA codon recognition, and the 3' end, to which the tRNAs corresponding amino acid is attached (by aminoacyl-tRNA synthetases). tRNAs cope with the degeneracy of the genetic code in two manners: having more than one tRNA (with a specific anti-codon) for a particular amino acid; and 'wobble' base-pairing, i.e. permitting non-standard base-pairing at the 3rd anti-codon position. The record is from RNAcentral. Lineage: Bacteria; Pseudomonadati; Acidobacteriota. RNAcentral also lists the same sequence under 7 other names.
GCGCCCGUAGCUCAGCCCGGAUAGAGCGUCAGACUCCGGAUCUGAAGGUCCCGCGUUCGAAUCGCGGCGGGCGCACCA